AACGAUUGUGUGUUAUAGGGUUAUUACAAUAUGAAAAGACUAGAAUACCCUCACUCACUUUACUAAUAAUAAAGACUAUAUUACCCUCUACUAACUUAAUUAUUAACUAAAUAACCAAUGCUAAAUAACCCCCAUUGUCCGCUGAAUGUCUUGCAGAUUAGGUUACGAAGUCCUUCAAACGGGUACUCAGAUAUCGGAUUCGUCGAUCCGGCGCCCUUUCCUCCAUAGUUGUUGGUUGGUCGUUACUCUGCUCUACCGGUGAUUCCAGUUCUUCCGUCGAUGGUCCAGCUCUCGCGAUUUCCAGGUCAUCCACCAACUGACGCGCCUCCUCACACACGUUCUCCAGCCGACGCGCGUAUUUCUCUACGUCCUCCUUGUAAGUAUCCCUAUCACAUCUCCCAUUGUGUAGCCUGCAACUACUAAAGAAUGCUUAAGCCCUUUGAACUUUAGAAUAUAUUCAUUCAUCGGAAAAUUAGAUGUCUCCUUCAGUGAUGACAUCUCAUCUCUAAGCCUUUGAAUUUAAUUUUUAUCAUUUGGAGACACAUUCACUUCCAGAGUAUGCCAUGCCUCAUAAGUUGUACACGGAAUGAGUAAAGGUUGAAUUUCUUGGCUUACAGUCGCUUUUAUCCAGCUGAAGAUGAUCCCGUCGUUCUUCUUGCAUAAGAUAAUCAAGAUUCACCUCUCCAUUAGCCAAAUGAACCUCUUGAAUCACCAUUUUGCCUGAAAUGUAGUCCAUUAGGCCAUGGAUCCACAAAGCCCCUUCAAAUUAGCGUUGGGCACAAUGACGAAAUACUAUAUAUACAUCAUCUGCGACACAUCUACCUUUGACAUUAUAGAAGUGCUCACCGUCCCUGUUGUCACUCCAUUUGUCGCCAUUUUCACCUAAUCUCGUAUCUUCAGCGGAAAAACAGAAUCUUUUUUCUCCCAAAUUGAAAACGAGAAGCUCGCGAUACCAUGUAGAAGUCUGAGAUUGAGAUGCAUUUAUAGCAAAAUGCUAUAACAGAAUCCGUAACUGAUUAAUUGAGUAAAUCAGUGGAAGAGAAAAAAGGUAAGAAGAAAAAGAAGAACGAUGAAGAAGAAGAUGGGUGAUGCAUGAAGAUAGAACGAAGAGUUGAAGAAGG
This 1121-nucleotide long non-coding RNA is filed under the name Zostera marina. RNAcentral's name for it is "long non-coding RNA (ZMAR_LNC004373)". Lineage: Eukaryota; Viridiplantae; Streptophyta; Magnoliopsida; Alismatales; Zosteraceae. The record is from RNAcentral.